UCAAAAUGAUGAAAUUCCACUUAAUGGUCCGUGUUUCUGAAACGCAUGAUAUUAGUGGAAAUUCUGAUUUG
Small nucleolar RNA from Mus spicilegus (steppe mouse), 71 nucleotides. Its record names the gene SNORD18. It matches the Rfam family "Small nucleolar RNA SNORD18". Rfam says of the family: U18 is a member of the C/D class of snoRNA which contain the C (UGAUGA) and D (CUGA) box motifs. It is encoded in introns of ribosomal protein L1 in Xenopus and human, and in introns of elongation factor 1 beta in yeast. Lineage: Eukaryota; Metazoa; Chordata; Mammalia; Rodentia; Muridae. The record is from Ensembl.